Molecule: ribosomal RNA, 497 nt
Filed under: uncultured bacterium
Lineage: Bacteria
Description: partial 16S ribosomal RNA
Rfam family: Bacterial small subunit ribosomal RNA
Source: RNAcentral
GAUGAACGCUGGCGGCGUGCCUAAUACAUGCAAGUCGAGCGAACGGACGAGAAGCUUGCUUCUCUGAUGUUAGCGGCGGACGGGUGAGUAACACGUGGAUAACCUACCUAUAAGACUGGGAUAACUUCGGGAAACCGGAGCUAAUACCGGACAAUAUUUUGAACCGCAUGGUUCAAAAGUGAAAGACGGUCUUGCUGUCACUUAUAGAUGGAUCCGCGCUGCAUUAGCUAGUUGGUAAGGUAACGGCUUACCAAGGCAACGAUGCAUAGCCGACCUGAGAGGGUGAUCGGCUACACUGGAACUGAGACACGGUCCAGACUCCUACGGGAGGCAGCAGUAGGGAAUCUUCCGCAAUGGGCGAAAGCCUGACGGAGCAACGCCGCGUGAGUGAUGAAGGUCUUCGGAUCGUAAAACUCUGUUAUUAGGGAAGAACAUAUGUGUAAGUAACUGUGCACAUCUUGACGGUACCUAAUCAGAAAGCCACGGCUAACUACGUG